This 546-nucleotide ribosomal RNA is filed under the name uncultured bacterium. RNAcentral's name for it is "bacterial SSU rRNA". It matches the Rfam family "Bacterial small subunit ribosomal RNA", at positions 777 to 1320 of the family's 1533-position model. The record is from RNAcentral.
AAUAGAUACCCGGGUAGUCCACCCCGUAAACGUUGGGAACUAGUUGUGGGGACCAUUCCACGGUUUCCGUGACGCAGCUAACGCAUUAAGUUCCCCGCCUGGGGAGUACGGCCGCAAGGCUAAAACUCAAAGGAAUUGACGGGGACCCGCACAAGCGGCGGAGCAUGCGGAUUAAUUCGAUGCAACGCGAAGAACCUUACCAAGGCUUGACAUAUACGAGAACGGGCCAGAAAUGGUCAACUCUUUGGACACUCGUAAACAGGUGGUGCAUGGUUGUCGUCAGCUCGUGUCGUGAGAUGUUGGGUUAAGUCCCGCAACGAGCGCAACCCUCGUUCUAUGUUGCCAGCACGUAAUGGUGGGAACUCAUGGGAUACUGCCGGGGUCAACUCGGAGGAAGGUGGGGAUGACGUCAAAUCAUCAUGCCCCUUAUGUCUUGGGCUUCACGCAUGCUACAAUGGCCGGUACAAAGGGCUGCAAUACCGUAAGGUGGAGCGAAUCCCAAAAAGCCGGUCCCGAGUUCGGAUUGAGGUCUGCAACUCGACCUCA